GAUGAACGCUAGCGGAAGGCUUAAUACAUGCAAGUCGAGCGGUAGGUGGCUUCGGCCAUUGAGAGCGGCGCACGGGUGAGUAACGCGUACAUGACCUGCCUGUCAGAAGGGGAUAGCCCUGGGAAACUGGGAUUAAUACCCUAUGGUAUUGAUAUUAUGAAUGAUAUCAAUUAAAGUUGAGGCGCUGACAGAUGGAUGUGCGUCUGAUUAGCUAGUUGGUAGGGUAACGGCCUACCAAGGCGACGAUCAGUAGGGGCGUGAGAGCGUGGUCCCCCAACGGGUACUGGAGACACGGACCCGACUCCUACGGGAGGCAGCAGGUAAGGAAUAUUGGUCAAUGCCCGCAAGGGUGAACCAGCCAUUCCGCGUGGAGGAUGAAGGCCCUAUGGGUUGUAAACUUCUUUUAGAUGGGAAGAAAUGCUAGAUGUAUCUGGUACUGACGGUACCAUCAGAAUAAGCACCGGCUAACUCCGUGCCAGCAGCCGCGGU
Molecule: ribosomal RNA, 489 nt
Filed under: uncultured bacterium
Lineage: Bacteria
Description: bacterial SSU rRNA
Rfam family: Bacterial small subunit ribosomal RNA
Source: RNAcentral